CUAGUUACAAUCCAUACAAUAUAAUUAAACCAAUAUAAUUGCCUAUUCUCCAUUAUCAUCCUUCUCUUCUCUUCAUUUCCGACCACAAGUAUUAAACGCUUCACCGGUUAUUUCACCUCCGCUGCCACGAUCUUCUCCUUCAGUUCUUUGACCGUCGUAUCUUCAGUCACCUCCGUAUUCGACGAGAGUGUUGUCUCCAAGACCGCGGACAUAAGAGUAGAUUUUUAGAAAAUGUAGUUU
RNAcentral lists this long non-coding RNA (240 nucleotides) under Arabidopsis lyrata. RNAcentral describes it as "long non-coding RNA (ALYR_LNC000453)". Lineage: Eukaryota; Viridiplantae; Streptophyta; Magnoliopsida; Brassicales; Brassicaceae. The record is from RNAcentral.